This 338-nucleotide RNase P RNA is filed under the name Megamonas hypermegale. RNAcentral's name for it is "Bacterial RNase P class A". It matches the Rfam family "Bacterial RNase P class A". From Rfam's summary of the family: Ribonuclease P (RNase P) is a ubiquitous endoribonuclease, found in archaea, bacteria and eukarya as well as chloroplasts and mitochondria. Its best characterised activity is the generation of mature 5'-ends of tRNAs by cleaving the 5'-leader elements of precursor-tRNAs. Lineage: Bacteria; Bacillati; Bacillota; Negativicutes; Selenomonadales; Selenomonadaceae. The record is from RNAcentral.
GAAAGAUAAUCGCGGAUACCAUUUGCGUAUCUGAGGAAAGUCCGGGCUCCACAGGGCAAUGUGCUGGAUAACGUCCAGCGAGGGUGACCUCAGGGAAAGUGCUAUAGAAACUUAAACCGCCUGCUGUGCAGGUAAGGGUGGAAAGGUGCGGUAAGAGCGCACCAGCAGGCAGGUGACUGUCUGGCUAGGUAAACCCCACAUGGAGCAAGACCGAAUAGGGAAGGGAUGAAGCGGCCCGCAGAGCCUUCCGGGUUGUGUCGCUAGAGCUUAUAGGUAACUAUAAUGCCAAGAUAAAUGAUUAUCGCCACGCAAGUGGAACAAAACUCGGCUUAUUGAUU